AUGUGAAUGUGAGCUCACAAAAUAUCAUGUACUAUAGUCACCCUACUUUCUGCACUGAUGUGAGAUGAUAAAAUGGCUAUGUGAUAAGUGAGGCAAAUGCAGUAGGCAUUGCCAUGUAGUCUUAGGCUACUAUUGACCUUCUAUUUGACUAUAUAUCAGAAAGAAGAUCAUCUGCUUCACGUGAUCUUGGAUCCGUGAACCAUGAUGAUAUUGUUGGUUGGAUGUUAGGUACAGAUUUAUGUCAAUGACUAGUGAGCAGAUAUCAUAUAUAAUGUGUAUGCACUUGACAAAGGGACGAUUCACAUCUUGGGCAGACUGGGAUGUAAGGGCUCAAAUUUUGUCAUACUACUCAGAAUCUUAGGCAAUUUAAACCUUAUGAUGUGUAUACAUAAAUUUUAUUUAUGGACCAUGGUUGACCAUGGGUAACUGAAUCUGCAGUCAAUAAAACCACCAAUGUCAUAUUAUGAAAUAUAUAUUUGGUCUUCAACCCCAUUUUCUGUCAUACAACUCCUAAAAUCCUCAGAAUUUCCAACAUGAUAUCAUUUGUAUGCUCUCCAAUACAUGAAGGCAUAUGGAGAAUACAUGGAUGUUCCCAGAGGGUGAGUGCCCUGGGAGGACAUGGAAGCAUGUUACUUUCCCCCCGUAUCUUGCACUAUGCAUCUCUUUAUCUGUAUCCUUUAAUAUUCUUUAUAAAAAACUG
Molecule: long non-coding RNA, 700 nt
Filed under: Homo sapiens (human)
Lineage: Eukaryota; Metazoa; Chordata; Mammalia; Primates; Hominidae
Description: HSALNT0304380
Source: RNAcentral